UACGUAGGGUGCAGGCGUUAAUCGGAAUUACUGGGCGUACAGCGUGCGCAGGCGGUCUGCUAAGACAGGUGUGAAAUCCCCGGGCUUAACCUGGGAACUGCGCUUGUUACUGGCAGGCUGGAGUGUGGCAGAGGGGGGUGGAAUUCCACGUGUAGCAGUGAAAUGCGUAGAGAUGUGGAGGAACACCGAUGGCGAAGGCAGCCCCCUGGGCUAACACUGACGCUCAUGCACGAAAGCGUGGGGAGCAAACAGG
RNAcentral lists this ribosomal RNA (253 nucleotides) under uncultured bacterium. RNAcentral's name for it is "partial 16S ribosomal RNA". It matches the Rfam family "Bacterial small subunit ribosomal RNA", at positions 524 to 776 of the family's 1533-position model. The record is from RNAcentral.